GAAAAGUUAAUGCGGUGGGAGUAUCUUAUUUUAAAAUAUAUAAGUGAUUAGAUUAAUAAUUCCUUGUCAACCAUACUGACAUAAUUAAUAUUUAACAAAGGGUUCAAACAAUUCCUCCUAGUUAACUUCCCCCCCCAUUCAGUGGAUGAGUCCGAGUGAGCAGGAAGAGGAAAUGUUUUUUUUGUUCCAGCCGAAGUAGCGCUUGAGACACGGAGCAGAGAAUAGAUGAUCAAAUCAGAUUAAACAAAUACCUGUAGUGGUUACAAUCCUGCUGCUAGUUUCCAAAGGAAAAUUCUUGGCCAGAUCGUCGUCGUCAUCGUCUUCUUUGCCUCCUUCUUCCCUUUUGUCUGCUCUCUUCUACAUCCUUACUUCAUUCCUGGGUGUCCUCAGCGGUGGUGUGGAAUUCUACGAGACAUUGGAGUCUUCAGCCCAGCUUGCUCUGUUGUAGAGGAGCGUCUAGUCCUGGAGUGGCGAGCCAACCCCAUGAGCUUGCAAACAAGGAGAUACUGAAAUAGAAAGAGGGAAGAAAAGUGGUAGGACAAUUACAUUUUGCUUGCCCCACACCGAGUUUGAAGGAGACAGACAUUGUUGCGCUACACUUUAACGGUCAAAGGAUACAACACCGCAGUGGAUGGAUUUUCCCAGUAACUCACUGAACUGAACUUUUUGGUCAUUGUCCUUAUUAAUACUAUAGUGAUGGAUUUGUCAUUGAAGUCAUAGCUCUAGAAUGUGUUGUUGAGUUAUAUCAUUACUCUGAUCGUUACAGGUAAAAGAACAGUUUAAUGUGACUGGUGACACUAAGGUUUUAUGUGAUUCAUUUUCAUGUUAAUAUAUAUAUGCAAGUUUGUUAUUGGUAUUUGAUUUUGGGUUAUACAAGGAAAAGAGUACCAAAAUAUUCAGAGAAUCCGCUUGUUUAGUUAGAGGCACUAUAAAAUAGGAUCUAUAAACCCUAAUACAGAUGAAUAAAAAAAUAAUGAGUGCCUGACUAAUAAUGUGGAGCUAGUGUAGCAUUACAUCUUGAAUCUAAAUAAGGAUAUGUAAACAAACUAAGUACUCAAUUGACAAGUGGAUUCUUAACUAGAUUUAAUGGAAACAAAACCAAAGAAUUAUUGGAAGUGAGAGGGUGUUUAUGGUAAUUCUACAUAUGAUGUGGUGUUGCACCUGUGAUGUUUUGAGAAGAAUACUGUUCUAAGAAAAAAUACACAAGAAAACUGGGUGAAUGAGAGAUAGAGAGAAUUAAAGCUUUAUUUCCUUACCUCUUCAAAC
Long non-coding RNA from Sander lucioperca (pikeperch), 1266 nucleotides. RefSeq lists it as uncharacterized. NCBI's taxonomy places the organism in Eukaryota, Metazoa, Chordata, Actinopteri, Perciformes, Percidae. The transcript has 2 exons. The record is from RefSeq and is a predicted model, not a curated record.